This 451-nucleotide ribosomal RNA is filed under the name Fusobacterium periodonticum. RNAcentral's name for it is "bacterial SSU rRNA". It matches the Rfam family "Bacterial small subunit ribosomal RNA", at positions 28 to 504 of the family's 1533-position model. The record is from RNAcentral. Lineage: Bacteria; Fusobacteriati; Fusobacteriota; Fusobacteriia; Fusobacteriales; Fusobacteriaceae.
GAUGAACGCUGACAGAAUGCUUAACACAUGCAAGUCUACUUGAACUUCGGUUUGGGUGGCGGACGGGUGAGUAACGCGUAAAGAACUUGCCUCACAGUUAGGGACAACAUUUGGAAACGAAUGCUAAUACCUGAUAUUAUGAUUUUAGGGCAUCCUAAGAUUAUGAAAGCUAUAUGCGCUGUGAGAGAGCUUUGCGUCCCAUUAGCUAGUUGGAGAGGUAACGGCUCACCAAGGCGAUGAUGGGUAGCCGGCCUGAGAGGGUGAACGGCCACAAGGGGACUGAGACACGGCCCUUACUCCUACGGGAGGCAGCAGUGGGGAAUAUUGGACAAUGGACCAAAAGUCUGAUCCAGCAAUUCUGUGUGCACGAUGACGUUUUUCGGAAUGUAAAGUGCUUUCAGUUGGGAAGAAAAAAAUGACGGUACCAACAGAAGAAGUGACGGCUAAAUAC